UACAGAGGUCCCGAGCGUUGUUCGGAUUCACUGGGCGUAAAGGGUGCGCAGGUGGGUUGGCAAGUUUGAUGUGAAAGCCCCGGGCUUAACCCGGGAAAGGCAUUGAAUACUGCUGAUCUGGAGGAUCGGAGGGGGGACUGGAAUUCUUGGUGUAGCAGUGAAAUGCGUAGAUAUCAAGAGGAACACCGGUGGCGAAGGCGGGUCUCUGGGCCGAUACUGACGCUGAGGAGCGAAAGCGUGGGGAGCGAACAGG
RNAcentral lists this ribosomal RNA (253 nucleotides) under uncultured bacterium. RNAcentral's name for it is "partial 16S ribosomal RNA". It matches the Rfam family "Bacterial small subunit ribosomal RNA", at positions 524 to 776 of the family's 1533-position model. The record is from RNAcentral.